This 1203-nucleotide long non-coding RNA is filed under the name Piliocolobus tephrosceles (Ugandan red Colobus). RNAcentral's name for it is "lncRNA (ENSPTEG00000018890.1)". The record is from RNAcentral. Lineage: Eukaryota; Metazoa; Chordata; Mammalia; Primates; Cercopithecidae.
AUGGGAGCUCCUACAGCUGCAAGCACCCCCAGAGGCAUAGGCACCCUCCCGGCCUCGGGAAUGGCUCCACUGCGUCUCCUUCUCCACAGGCUUGAGACACCUUCAGAGCCUGUCUCCCCUUCCACAGGUCCAGGAACCCUGGCAGCUGUGGGUCCCUCAGUGGCCAGUCUCCUUGCCCAUAUGCCUGAGCAGUCAUCCCCAGAGCCGGUAUCCCCUACCAUCGGUCCAGGGAGCCCGGGAGCUGUGGGCACCCCCACGGCCAUGGAAUCUCUAGCAGCCACAGGCCUCCCAGCAGUCUGCCUUCUUCCAGACAGGCCAGAGACACGCUCAAAGAGGGUCCCCUCCCCCACAGACCCCGGAAGCCCCACAGCCAUGGAUACUCCUGUAGUCUGUCUGCCUCCCAACAAGCCUGAGACACCCCCAGAGCCAGUCUUCUCCCCCAUGGGCCCAGGCAUCCUGGUCGAGGUGGGCACUUCCAUCCUUGUGGGACCCUUGGCAUCUGCAGGUCCACCCACUGUCUCUCCUUCGCCCCACAAUUCUGAGCCAGUUUCCUCUUGCACAGGCCUAGGCACCCUGAGAGCCACGGGCACCCCACUAGCUGCAGACAGCCCCACAGUGCCAGCCAUUCCUGCAGUUUGCUGCCUCCCCGACAAGCCUGAGAAGCUCCCAGAGCCAGGCUCCAGUUCCACAGAACCAGGCGCCCUGGGGGCCAGAAGCACUUCGGUGGCCACAGGAGUCCUUACCCUCUGUCUCUGUCCCCAAGGUCUUGGGAUACCCCCAGAGUCAGUCUCCUCCUCAAGCCCAGGCCCCCCAGGUGCCACAGAAACCCCAAUAGUCUGUCUCCUUCCCCAUGGGCCCGGGAAGGCCCCAGAAUCACAAUGCUCCCCGCCAGACCACAGCUCCUCCGGAGCCACAAGUCCCCCUGAAGCCAGAGAUAUUCUGGCAGCCCCAGCCCUUUCCCACAGCUUCAAAAUGUCUCUAGAGCUGCCUUCUCCACACACAGGGCCAGACGCCCACACAGCAGCAGGCACUCUGGCAGGCACCUUUCCAGAGCCGGGCACGCCCAUCGCCAUGGGGACCCCUGCUGUGGCACACCUGUGCUGGGGCACAUCUGCUGCCCUGGGUAUGCCCACCCUCUCAGACACCCGCACAGCCUGCCUCCUCCCACACAGACAUGAAACAUCUCCGCAGCCAGCCUCCUGA